RNAcentral lists this ribosomal RNA (1510 nucleotides) under uncultured bacterium. RNAcentral describes it as "partial 16S ribosomal RNA". It matches the Rfam family "Bacterial small subunit ribosomal RNA". The record is from RNAcentral.
UAAAGUUUGAUCCUGGCUCACGAUGAACGCUAGCUACAGGCUUAACACUUGCUGGUCGAGGGGAAACGGCGUUGACUGCUUGUUCUCUUUGGACGUCGACCGGCGCACGGGUGACUAACGCGUAUCCAACCUUCCCAUUACUGUGGGAUAACCUGCCGAAAGGCAGACUAAUACCGCAUAGUCUUCGAUGACGGCAUCAGAUUUGAAGUAAAGAUUUAUCGGUAAUGGAUGGGGAUGCGUCUGAUUAUCUUGUCUCGGCGGGUGUAACGGCCCAUCGAGGCCACGAUCAUUAGGGGUUCUGUGAUGAAGGUUUCCCACAUUGUACCUGACACCCUGGUCGAGACUCCUACUGGAGGCAGCACUGAUGAACUAUUGGUCAAUGGACGGAGGUCUGGUAACCAGCCUAUUGGGCGUGCAGGCUGACGGCCCAUAUGCGGUUGUAAACUGCUUUUGUAUGGGGAUCAAGUUAGGGACGUGUUCCUAUUUGCAUGUUCUAUACGACUAAGGACCGGCUAAUUCCGUGCCAUCAGGCUCGGUAGUACUGAAGGUCCAAGCGUUAUCUGGAUUUAUUGUGUUUAAACGGCAGGCGUAAGUCUGGAGAUUAAGUGUGUUGUGAGAUGUAGACGCUCAACGUCUGAAUUGCAGCGCAUACUGGUUUCCUUGAGUACGCACAACGUUGGGGGAAUUCGUCGUGUAGCGGUGAAAUGCCUCAGAUAUGACGAAGCACUCCGAUUGCGAAGGCUGCUGACUGGAGCGCAACUGACGCUUAAGCUCGAAGGUGCGGGUAUCAAACAUGGAUUAGAUACCCUGGUAGUCUGCCCAGUACACGAUGGAUGCCCGCUGUUGGUAGCUGGUAUCAGCGGCUCAGCUGAAAGCAUGUAAUCAUCCCAUCUGGGGAGUACGCUUGCAACGGUGUAACUCAACAGGAAUUGACGGGGGUCCGCCCAAGUGGAUGCACAUGUCGCUGUUUAAUUCGAUGAUACGCGAGGAACCUUACCCGGGCUUGAAUUGCAGAGGAAGGAUUUAGAGAUAAUGACGCCCUUCGGGGUUUCUGUGAAGGUGCUGCAUGGUUGUCGUCAGCUCGUGCCGUGAGGUGUUGGUUUAAGUGCCAUAACGAGCGCAACCCCUUUCUUCAGUUGCCAUCAGGUUAAGCUGGGCACUCUGGAGACAGUGCCACCGUAAGGUGUGAGGAAGGUGGGGAGGACCUCAAAUCAGCACGGCCCUUACGUCCGGGGCUACACACGUGUUACAAUGGCCGGUACAGAGGGUCGGUGUAAUGCAAAUUGCAUCCAAUCUUGAAAGCCGGUCCCAGUUCGGACUGGGGUCUGCAACCCGACCCCACGAAGCUGGAUUUGGUAGUAAUCGCGCAUCAGCCAUGGCGCGGUGAAUACGUUCCCGGCCCUUGUACACACCGCCCGUCAAGCCAAGAAAGCCGGGGGUGCGUGAAGUCCGUGACCGCAAGGAUCGGCCUAGGGCAAAACUGGUGAUGCGGGUAAGUCGUAACAAGGUA